GAUGAACGCUGGCGGCGUGCUUAACACAUGCAAGUCGAACGAGAAGUGGAGACGGAAACCUUCGGGCGGAAGACUUUAUUUCGAGUGGCGGACGGGUGAGUAACGCGUGGGUAACCUGCCUCAUACAGGGGGAUAACAGUUGGAAACGACUGUUAAUACCGCAUAAGACCACAGCACCGCAUGGUGCGGGGGUAAAAACUCCGGUGGUAUGAGAUGGACCCGCGUUCGAUUAGCCAGUUGGCGGGGUAACGGCCCACCAAAGCGACGAUCGAUAGCCGAUCUGAGAGGAGGACCGGCCACAUUGGGACUGAGACACGGCCCAAACUCCUACGGGAGGCAGCAGUGGGGAAUAUUGCACAAUGGGGGAAACCCUGAUGCAGCGACGCCGCGUGAGUGAAGAAGUAUUUCGGUAUGUAAAGCUCUAUCAGCAGGGAAGAAAAUGACGGUACCUGAGUAAGAAGCCCCGGCUAACUACGUG
Molecule: ribosomal RNA, 478 nt
Filed under: uncultured bacterium
Lineage: Bacteria
Description: partial 16S ribosomal RNA
Rfam family: Bacterial small subunit ribosomal RNA
Source: RNAcentral